GCAAACUUGGUCAUUUAGAGGAAGUAAAAGUCGUAACAAGGUUUCCGUAGGUGAACCUGCGGAAGGAUCAUCAAUGAAAUUAUACCAUUUGGUUUAUUUUUUCAAGCCAAGGUUGAGCUUUUUUGGCUUGCAAACAACACAGAUACCCAAAAAACUUGGAAAAAAAAUUUUCUAGUGGUUGCCUGAUAUAAAAGUGUUUGGAAAAAAAAGAGAAAUAAAACAACUUUCAACAACGGAUCUCUUGGCUCUCACAUCGAUGAAGAACGCAGC
RNAcentral lists this unclassified non-coding RNA (270 nucleotides) under uncultured fungus. RNAcentral describes it as "partial contains small subunit ribosomal RNA, internal transcribed spacer 1, and 5.8S ribosomal RNA". The stretch from base 1 to 73 matches the Rfam family "Eukaryotic small subunit ribosomal RNA", at positions 1759 to 1831 of the family's 1831-position model. Lineage: Eukaryota; Fungi. The record is from RNAcentral.